CAGCACCUCAAGUGGUCAGGAGGAUUAUUGGGCCUAAAGCAUCCGUAGCCUGUUCUAUAAGUUUGCGGUUAAAUCUAUACGCUCAACGUAUAGGCUGCCGUAAAUACUGUAGAACUAGGGAGUGGGAGAGGUAGACGGUACUCGAUAGGAAGGGGUAAAAUCCUUUGAUCUAUUGAUGACCACCUGUGGCGAAGGCGGUCUACCAGAACACGUUCGACGGUGAGGGAUGAAAGCUGGGGGAGCAAACCGGAUUAGAUACCCGGGUAGUCCCAGCUGUAAACGAUGCAGACUCGAUGAUGCAAUGGCAUAGAGCUAUUGCAGUAUCGCAGGGAAGCCGUUAAGUCUGCCGCCUGGGAAGUACGUACGCAAGUAUGAAACUUAAAGGAAUUGGCGGGGGAGCACCACAAGGGGUGAAGCCUGCGGUUCAAUUGGAGUCAACGCCAGAAAUCUUACCCGGAGAGACAGCAGAAUGAAGGUCAGGCUGAAGACCUUACCAGACAAGCUGAGAGGUGGUGCAUGGCCGUCGUCAGCUCGUGCCGUGAGAUGUCCUGUUAAGUCAGGUAACGAGCGAGAUCCCUGCCACUAGUUGCUAUCAUUACUCUCAGGAGUAGUGGGGCGAAUUAGUGGGACCGCCACAGUUAAUGUGGAGGAAGGAAGGGGCCACGGCAGGUCAGUAUGCCCCCGAAACUCUGGGGCCACACGCGGGCUGCAAUGGUAGUGACAAUGGGCUCCUAACUCGAAAGAGAGAGGCAAUCCACAAACACUACCACAGUUAUGACUGAGGGCUGUAACUCGCCCUCACGAAUAUGGAAUCCCUAGUAACUGCGUGUCAUUACCGCGCGGUGAAUACGUCCCUGCUCCUU
RNAcentral lists this ribosomal RNA (863 nucleotides) under uncultured organism. Its description in RNAcentral is "bacterial SSU rRNA". It matches the Rfam family "Archaeal small subunit ribosomal RNA", at positions 477 to 1338 of the family's 1478-position model. The record is from RNAcentral.